This 822-nucleotide long non-coding RNA is filed under the name Equus caballus (horse). RNAcentral's name for it is "lncRNA (ENSECAG00000047816.1)". The record is from RNAcentral. Lineage: Eukaryota; Metazoa; Chordata; Mammalia; Perissodactyla; Equidae.
CUAGAAGUUAAACCUUGUGCUUAAUUUUCAGAGCUUCAGUUUUCCCAUACAUACUAUGGGAAUUUUACCUCUUGGUUAUUUUUUGGAAUGGUAAAGUUCUUAUCAAGGUAUCCGGCAUGUUGAAAUUUCUCAAUAAAUGGAAACGACCCAGACAUAUCACUGAGGGAUGUGGCAUCACAGAAAUAUCACUGAGGCCAAGGAAAAAAGGAACCUCUGAGGUGGGCAGAGCAGGUACGAUGGCCACCACUAGGCAGAGGAGGGAAGUCAGAAUCCAGGAAGGUGAUGUGACUACCUCAGAAUCACCCCACAAAAUAAGGAAGAGCGGCAGGUAAACUCUGUGACAGCAGGGAUUCUAUCUCACAGAGGUUCUGUAGACCCCAAACACACAUCACAGGUGCUUAGCAAGUGAGAAAGAUAAAAGUGGCCCAAGAAAAUAAGGGCUCCUAUGAACUCACCAAUGGACUGGUCUCCCAGCUGCUCAGUCUUCAAUGCCCAUUCUAAGCUUAAACGGCCACGCAGAAACAAGAUCAAUUCCUUUUCAAGCCUAUAGGAAUUAAGCACCUGCAUAGAGUUGUCACCUGAUUCUUGGUACACUUCACACAUGGGGGUAAAUUUUCAGUGCAAAUAGCUAUUUCAGAAAGCUGAGCCUGGCAAAGACAUCGGUGCCAUUUCUCUGUUUUUAAGCAAUAGGGUCCUGUUCUAUUGCUGAGGAAGCUUCCUCCACACAGGACAAAGUUCUGAUCAUGCCACAUGUCUGUUCAGGAGCCCUCAGAGGCUCCCAUUGAAGGUUGUGUGCUCUGCUCCCAUACGCUGAACUCAGGC